This 329-nucleotide ribosomal RNA is filed under the name uncultured eukaryote. Its description in RNAcentral is "partial 18S ribosomal RNA". It matches the Rfam family "Eukaryotic small subunit ribosomal RNA", at positions 1470 to 1796 of the family's 1831-position model. The record is from RNAcentral.
CCCUUAGAUGUUCUGGGCUGCACACGCGCUACACUGAAGGGAUCAGCGUGUUCUUUUCCUGGUCCGAAAGGAUCGGGUAACCCGCUGAACCCCCUUCGUGGUAGGGAUCGGAGCUUGCAAUUAUUCUCCGUGAACCAGGAAUUCCCAGUAAGCGCAAGUCAUAAGCUUGCGUUGAUUACGUCCCUGCCCUUUGUACACACCGCCCGUCGCUCCUACCGAUUGAAUGGUCCGGUGAAGCGUUCGGACCGUGGCCUUUGGACGGUUCGCCGCCUGUUGGCUGCGGGAAGUUCGUUAAACCUUAUCAUUUAGAGGAAGGAGAAGUCGUANCA